RNAcentral lists this ribosomal RNA (685 nucleotides) under Salmonella enterica subsp. enterica serovar Enteritidis. RNAcentral describes it as "partial 23S ribosomal RNA". It matches the Rfam family "Bacterial large subunit ribosomal RNA", at positions 583 to 1269 of the family's 2925-position model. Lineage: Bacteria; Pseudomonadati; Pseudomonadota; Gammaproteobacteria; Enterobacterales; Enterobacteriaceae. The record is from RNAcentral.
CUUUGGGUGUGACUGCGUACCUUUUGUAUAAUGGGUCAGCGACUUAUAUUCUGUAGCAAGGUUAACCGAAUAGGGGAGCCGGAGGGAAACCGAGUCUUAACCGGGCGUUAAGUUGCAGGGUAUAGACCCGAAACCCGGUGAUCUAGCCAUGGGCAGGUUGAAGGUUGGGUAACACUAACUGGAGGACCGAACCGACUAAUGUUGAAAAAUUAGCGGAUGACCUGUGGCUGGGGGUGAAAGGCCAAUCAAACCGGGAGAUAGCUGGUUCUCCCCGAAAGCUAUUUAGGUAGCGCCUCGUGAAUUCAUCUCCGGGGGUAGAGCACUGUUUCGGCUAGGGGGCCAUCCCGGCUUACCAACCCGAUGCAAACUGCGAAUACCGGAGAAUGUUAUCACGGGAGACACACGGCGGGUGCUAACGUCCGUCGUGAAGAGGGAAACAACCCAGACCGCCAGCUAAGGUCCCAAAGUCAUGGUUAAGUGGGAAACGAUGUGGGAAGGCCCAGACAGCCAGGAUGUUGGCUUAGAAGCAGCCAUCAUUUAAAGAAAGCGUAAUAGCUCACUGGUCGAGUCGGCCUGCGCGGAAGAUGUAACGGGGCUAAACCAUGCACCGAAGCUGCGGCAGCGACGCUUAUGCGUUGUUGGGUAGGGGAGCGUUCUGUAAGCCUGCGAAGGUGGCCUGUGAGGG